GGAGCUUGCUCCCUGAGAUUAGCGGCGGACGGGUGAGUAACACGUGGGCAACCUGCCUAUAAGACUGGGAUAACUUCGGGAAACCGGAGCUAAUACCGGAUACGUUCUUUUCUCGCAUGAGAGAAGAUGGAAAGACGGUUUACGCUGUCACUUAUAGAUGGGCCCGCGGCGCAUUAGCUAGUUGGUGAGGUAAUGGCUCACCAAGGCGACGAUGCGUAGCCGACCUGAGAGGGUGAUCGGCCACACUGGGACUGAGACACGGCCCAGACUCCUACGGGAGGCAGCAGUAGGGAAUCUUCCGCAAUGGACGAAAGUCUGACGGAGCAACGCCGCGUGAACGAAGAAGGCCUUCGGGUCGUAAAGUUCUGUUGUUAGGGAAGAACAAGUACCAGAGUAACUGCUGGUACCUUGACGGUACCUAACCAGAAAGCCACGGCUAACUACGUGCCAGCAGCCGCGGUAAUACGUAGGUGGCAAGCGUUGUCCGGAAUUAUUGGGCGUAAAGCGCGCGCAGGUGGUUCCUUAAGUCUGAUGUGAAAGCCCACGGCUCAACCGUGGAGGGUCAUUGGAAACUGGGGAACUUGAGUGCAGAAGAGGAAAGUGGAAUUCCAAGUGUAGCGGUGAAAUGCGUAGAGAUUUG
This 640-nucleotide ribosomal RNA is filed under the name Bacillus sp. 208(2013). RNAcentral's name for it is "bacterial SSU rRNA". It matches the Rfam family "Bacterial small subunit ribosomal RNA", at positions 75 to 700 of the family's 1533-position model. Lineage: Bacteria; Bacillati; Bacillota; Bacilli; Caryophanales; Bacillaceae. The record is from RNAcentral.